RNAcentral lists this ribosomal RNA (253 nucleotides) under uncultured bacterium. RNAcentral's name for it is "partial 16S ribosomal RNA". It matches the Rfam family "Bacterial small subunit ribosomal RNA", at positions 524 to 776 of the family's 1533-position model. The record is from RNAcentral.
UACGUAGGGUGCAAGCGUUAAUCGGAAUUACUGGGCGUAAAGCGUGCGCAGGCGGUUUUGUAAGUCAGAUGUGAAAUCCCCGGGCUUAACCUGGGAACUGCGUUUGAAACUACAAGGCUAGAGUGUGGCAGAGGGGGGUGGAAUUCCACGUGUAGCAGUGAAAUGCGUAGAUAUGCGGAGGAACACCGAUGGCGAAGGCAGUCCCCUGGGCCUGUACUGACGCUCAUGCACGAAAGCGUGGGGAGCAAACAGG